UCCUAUCCUAGGUAUUCCUUAAAGAGGUGGGGUUUCAGGUGUCUCCGGAAGGUGGUGAUUGACUCCGCUGUCCUGGCGUCGUGAGGGAGCUUGUUCCACCAUUGGGGUGCCAGAGCAGCAAACAGUUUUGACUGGGCUGAGCGGGAACUGUGCUUCCUCAGAGGUAGGGGGGCCAGCAGGCCAGUGGUGGAUGAACGCAGUGCCCUUGUUUGGGUGUAGGGCCUGAUCAGAGCCUGAAGGUAUGGAGGUGCCCAGGGCGAAAAUCCUUGCCUGGUAUUUAAUCAUUGCCUGAAACCAUGCCUGGUAAUUUGCAUCUCCAAGUCCUGCACCCUCUCCUGAAAAUCCAGGUCGUGGCAUAUAUAAAUAGUAAAGUAAUGUACAGGUACCCCCCCAAAAUACUUAAGUAGUACUUUAAAGUAUUUUUAUUGAAGUACUUUACACUACUGCCCAAAUAUCUUCACACCAGACAUUAACAUACUUUUACACAUGCACUUAUCACAUAGUAUACCAUACAUAAGUUAAGGCCAUGAAACCUGAGUGAGGUGCACGUGUACGGUUGUCACGUCCUGACCAGUAUAAGGGGUUAUUGGUUAUUUUAGUUUGGUCAGGACGUGGCAGGGGGUAUUUGUUUUAUGUGUUUGGUGUUUAAUGGGAUAUGUAUUUAUGUAAGAGGGGUGUUUGAUUUAUGUGUUCCCGGGUUUUUGGGUAAUGUUCUUGUUUUAUAUUUCUUUGUUGGCCUGGUAUGGCUCUCAAUCAGGAACAGCUGUACAUUGUUGUUGCUGAUUGAGAGUCAUACUUAAGUAGCCCUGUUUUCACCUGUCCCUUUGUGAGAAGUUGUUGUUGCAAUACUGUUCGUUUCGUACGUUUUCUUGUUUUGUUUUUGUUACGUGUUCUAAUAAAGUUAAGAUGAGCACUCAACCCGCUGCGCCUUGGUCCAGUAUAUACGACGAUCGUAACAACGGUACAUAAACAGAUGCAUGCGUCAUAUGUUUGUGGUGGACACUUGAUACAGUCAAAUGAUAUUGUUGUGGUAUGUCACAAAAUCAUGUUACGACCACACAUAACAAUAUUAAUUUCAUAUAUCAAUAUCUUGCUAAGUAUAUGGGUCUCUACAGAAGGUGUAAACGGUACAGCCAAAUGGUUACUUGCAUAGUAUCAAUAUCAGAAAUAGUGUCAAAUUAAAUAAAAUAAUAUACAGUGUGUACAAGAACAAUAUCAGUAAUAGAUGAGGUAGUUAUAUGCAUACAAUCAGGGGUGAAGUGGCUGAGCAGCAGGAUAAAAAAAAAUAGUAGCAGCAACAUCUGGUGUGUGUGUUGGGAGAGAGUCAUUUGAAUAGAGGCACUGUGGAUAGUGCUGAUGACUGGUCCGUCUGAAACACGCAUGAACAAGGGAAUCUACAUUGGAGAUCCUGUUUCUGUCCUGCCCUUGACUGUGGUGCAGAGCAUGUGAUGUCCAUAGCCUCUUCAUCACCUCUUGAUCUUGUUAAAAAUAUAUGUUUGUCUAGCUGUGUCCAGUCCAGGUGGUGCUUUUACAGGCAGACCAUCUAUGGGAGGAAGGAUGUCAGCAUUGCGCAGCAGCUGAAACCUGGUCCAGACUGAGUCCGAAACGCUCCUUGGCGACAACAACACCAGGCUCCAAAGCAUCGAAGCUGUAAAACAGGGAAAAAAAUCAGAAGACAUUACAACCUUGCACAACAUCAAUUCACCUCCCAAGUUUAUAUAAGAAGAAUAACCUGAUACAAUGCAAUGAAAAUUAUUUUCACUUGAAGUGCUGGUACUGCUUGAUCUGUGGUACGGGUCAGGUGUUGUUGUCAGCCAUAGCUUUCCACCAGCACUGCAUCAUCCUCCAGUCCAAUCAGGUGUGGGAUGGAUGUUGACUCCUGCACAGUGCUGUCCUUCACAACACCAGCAAUCUCAGACAAAGUGUUCAUUCUGGUCUUUUGGAAUCGCUGCUUGAUGAGGCUGAAGCACCAGUCGGGGGCAAACUUGGGUGUGGCCUGUAAUCAGGAAGGCCAGACACAAUAGCAGAGCACAAACUUGUUCUUGUUUUGGCCACUGCAGUUAUCACAAUUCAGGUCCACAAGUGUUUCCCCAACUCUGUAAUUGGUGAAGAAAUUCUGCUUGUUGUUGAUGACUGCGCUGCUCCUUUGCUGGAUGACAUGCCUUCAUCAAUCAAGUAGUUGACUUGUUGUGGAACUCCUUCACAGCAGACACCAAACAAGCCACACCUGCGAGGAGUUAAGGAUAGUGCACCUGCAAGCAACAAAUGAACAGUAAGAUAAAUUACAAUUCAUUGUCUGACCCCUCAGUGAAAGGUAUUUGCCUGCCUGCCUCUCUCUUCUGACUUCAUGUGUGUAUGUGUGUAUGUGUGUAUGGAUGGAUGGAUGGAUGGAUGGAUGGAUGGAUGGAUGGAUGGAUGGAUAGAUGGCAUAUUAUUAAACACUAAUAAAUCUAUCUGUAAAUACGAAUAGAAUUAUUAAAUUAGGAGCCUACUUGGUUAAGCCACAGAAAAAGAAAGCAACCUUUCUGCUAGCCAUGACUGGCUGAGAUAAUGAGUGGCUGGACAUGCAGAGAGAUGAGUUUCAGCACUGGUUUAAUAUGGCCUGUGUCAGUAAAUGUCGGCAAAAAAAGAGUAAUUAAAUGGUUGCCAGAAGUACAGUUAGUCACCAACGCUCUGGAUAACAUGAACACAGCCUAACCAGCUCUGCUAGGAUGAGUAAAAUGGUCAGAGUUUGGGUGGGGGCUGAAACUUAACAUGUUUCUUAUGGCAUUGCAGAUGGUCAGUGUGACAAUGGGCCAAGUAAGCUGAACAUACAAGACGGAAAGGACAUAGGACGUCUUAUUUCAUGAAAGGAGUUGGAGUCUGCCGUCAAGCUUUCAUCCAUGUUUACGGCAUCAGUAGAACACACCUGACUCUCCUUCGCCAGUCAUACAAAGAGAAUGGUCUAAUGCCUCCCUUUAAAAAGACAGCUGGCCCAAGCAAGCACGGGUUACACCUGAAGCAUGAGGACUUGCAGCGAGUGGUAAACUUCAACAACAACUACGCAGAGGAUAAUGCAAUAAAUAGUAUUACCAGGACGCCACCCAGGACACAAACACUUUGGUGGAAAGCUGCUCGCAUCCCAUGUGACAAGCAACAGUGUGGCGUCUCUACAAGGAAUCGAUGACAACACUUAAAGCUGUUAAGUAAGCCAAGGAAAAUAAGCAUCUCCUGCUUGUUCAGAGUGAGCAGUCUGUCUACCAGAAGAUGGUUACUGACUGCAAGACCACCUGUCAAGACCUGCAGUUGUCUCAGGGGGCCCCUACUGAACCAGCAAGCAAAGACAUCAGGAUGCAUUACAGCUUGCAUUUUGCUCUACAAAGGAUCUCUGCUGUGACGUGACACUUCCUACGGCUCCCAUGGGUUCUCAGA
RNAcentral lists this long non-coding RNA (3411 nucleotides) under Salmo salar (Atlantic salmon). Its description in RNAcentral is "lncRNA (ENSSSAG00000104101.1)". Lineage: Eukaryota; Metazoa; Chordata; Actinopteri; Salmoniformes; Salmonidae. The record is from RNAcentral.